RNAcentral lists this long non-coding RNA (219 nucleotides) under Lathyrus oleraceus (garden pea). RNAcentral's name for it is "Pisum sativum (pea) long non-coding RNA (PSAT_LNC029072)". The record is from RNAcentral. Lineage: Eukaryota; Viridiplantae; Streptophyta; Magnoliopsida; Fabales; Fabaceae.
UUCCUCAAGUGACUUUGUGUAGUCUGUAGACUUGAGAAGACUAAGAGAUUUUCUUCUCUCUUAGGUGUUGUUUGUAAUAUUUCAAGAUUAGUGGAUUAAGUCCUUGUUGAAGGCGAAAUCACCUUGGCCGGGUGGACCGGAGUAGCUUUGUGUUAUAAGCGAACCAGUAUAAAAUCAUUGUGUGAUUUUCUUUUUGAAAAAGCGCUUAUUUUUUCAAAC